This 411-nucleotide long non-coding RNA is filed under the name Bos indicus x Bos taurus (hybrid cattle). Its description in RNAcentral is "lncRNA (ENSBIXG00000010814.1)". Lineage: Eukaryota; Metazoa; Chordata; Mammalia; Artiodactyla; Bovidae. The record is from RNAcentral.
GUCGAGGCCAGCAAGUUCAUAGGAGCUAUUGUGGUGCACGGCAGGAAAUGAUUGCAAGUUGAUGGAGAAUGCAGCCUUUCUAAGAUGCACUAUGAAAUUGAACACAGAAGGAGGUUUAGAAGAGACAAGCAACAGGGACAAACAAGCCAUUACAGGGCAGGAGCCCAUUGUCAGUUUCCAGAACUAUAAGAAAAUACAAGGGUUUCCUCUGGUGAUCAAAGCCACCCUGGUCAUGCGUGCAGCAGGUCAGAAGUGUCAGAGAUUCAGCUCUAGCAACCGUGGUCAUGAUGUGCUGUGUCAGCCCUUAUGGAUUUACCACUGAAGCUGGGAGAAGAGCACAUGAAGACAAGCCGAGGGGCAGAGAUUUAUCAAAGGGCUCCCUGCCUUUCUGACAGAUGUGCUGCAGCGGCC